AAGCACAUUUCUUGUGUGACCGCGUACUUUUUGUAGAACGGGCCAACGAGUUACGUUAAGUAGCAAGGUUAAGCACUUAAGGUGUGGAGCCGUAGCGAAAGCGAGUUUUAACUGAGCGUUCAGUUACGUGACGUAGACACGAAACCGGGCGACCUACCCAUGAGCAGGAUGAAGCGAAAGUAAAAUUUCGUGGAGGUCCGAACCCACGAGCG
Molecule: ribosomal RNA, 212 nt
Filed under: Clostridioides difficile
Lineage: Bacteria; Bacillati; Bacillota; Clostridia; Peptostreptococcales; Peptostreptococcaceae
Description: partial 23S ribosomal RNA
Rfam family: Bacterial large subunit ribosomal RNA
Source: RNAcentral